UACGGGGGGGGCAAGCGUUGUUCGGAAUCACUGGGCGUAAAGCGCACGUAGGCGGACUCUUAAGUCAGGGGUGAAAUCCUGGAGCUCAACUCCAGAACUGCCUUUGAUACUGGGAGUCUUGAGUUCGGGAGAGGUGAGUGGAACUGCGAGUGUAGAGGUGAAAUUCGUAGAUAUUCGCAAGAACACCAGUGGCGAAGGCGGCUCACUGGCCCGAUACUGACGCUGAGGUGCGAAAGCGUGGGGAGCAAACAGG
Molecule: ribosomal RNA, 253 nt
Filed under: uncultured bacterium
Lineage: Bacteria
Description: partial 16S ribosomal RNA
Rfam family: Bacterial small subunit ribosomal RNA
Source: RNAcentral